UAUCCAUGGUGAGGACACAUACUCAACAAUUCCUUAAAUCUCUCUCAAGCCUGAUACAAAGUCUCACUAUCCUUUUCUACAAAAGUAGAUAUCUGCCUCUUAAAAGC
Molecule: small nucleolar RNA, 107 nt
Organism: Juglans microcarpa x Juglans regia
Lineage: Eukaryota; Viridiplantae; Streptophyta; Magnoliopsida; Fagales; Juglandaceae
Source: RefSeq, a predicted model, not a curated record